AGCUGGUUGACGAGUCCAAAAUAGAACGAAAUGCGCAUCCUGGAU
RNAcentral lists this non-coding RNA (45 nucleotides) under Trichobilharzia regenti. Lineage: Eukaryota; Metazoa; Platyhelminthes; Trematoda; Strigeidida; Schistosomatidae. The record is from RNAcentral.